This 71-nucleotide transfer RNA is filed under the name Loxodonta africana (African savanna elephant). It matches the Rfam family "tRNA". From Rfam's summary of the family: Transfer RNA (tRNA) molecules are approximately 80 nucleotides in length. Lineage: Eukaryota; Metazoa; Chordata; Mammalia; Proboscidea; Elephantidae. The record is from Rfam by way of RNAcentral.
GCAUUGGUGAUUCAGUGGUAGGAUUCCGUCCUUUCAUGCCGGAGACCUGGGUUUGAUUCUUGGCCAAUGCA